RNAcentral lists this small RNA (697 nucleotides) under Histoplasma capsulatum. Its description in RNAcentral is "hypothetical RNA". The record is from RNAcentral. RNAcentral also lists the same sequence under 1 other name. Lineage: Eukaryota; Fungi; Ascomycota; Eurotiomycetes; Onygenales; Ajellomycetaceae.
AAUUGUUGCUUUUAAUUAAUUAUUCUUUAUAAUUAUCAAGUGUAAAAAUCUGCAUUUGAAAAUACUUUUAAUAAUAUAUUACUAUGAAACUUAUAUAUAUAUAUUCAUUUUUCUCUUUUAUUUCAAAUAACUAUAUGUGUAUAUUGAGCUACUUAGACUGACUGUGUGACCAUGUAUGAGACUGAGACCAAAUUUUUCCUCAGUUCCAUUAUUAGAUAUCUUAAUUCUGAUCUCAUAUAGUAUUUAGUAAAUUAGUCACUUUACACUGUUUAUAUUAUAAAUCUAGUCUCAGAUCAUGUUUUACUAAUAAAUUAGUAAUUUCAAUUCCAUUUAAUUUUAUUUUACAAAAUGAGAUCAAAUGAGAUCAUGAUUUACUCUAUAUAGAUUGGCAGUGAUAGAUUGACAGCAGUAGAUAGAUUAGCAGCAGUGAUAAAUUAACAGUAAUAGAUUAGCAGUAAUAGAUUAGCAGUGAUAGAUUAGCAGUGAUAGAUUAACAAUAAUAAAUUAGCAGCAAUAGAUUAGUAGCAAUGAAUUAACAGUAGUAGAUAGAUUAACAGUGAUAGAUAGAUUAACAGUAAUAGAUAGAUUGAUAAUAGUAGAUAGAUUGACAGCAGUAAUAGAUUAGCAGUGAUAGAUUAGCAGUAGUAGAUAGAUUAACAGUAAUAGAUAGAUUAACAGCAGUGAGUAGAUUGACAGC